Molecule: RNA transcript, 1996 nt
Organism: Malus domestica (apple)
Lineage: Eukaryota; Viridiplantae; Streptophyta; Magnoliopsida; Rosales; Rosaceae
Gene name: protein FLX-like 3
Source: RefSeq, a predicted model, not a curated record
CGACUCGCUCGGAGCAGCAUUCGAUAGCCUGAUACGCAAAAACAAAAUUGAGAAAUUGGUCGCUCUGGAUUUUCCGCCCAGAAAAGAACACCUCAGGAGCCAGGACCUCUCUCAUUCGUUCAGAAAUUCGAUCGAACAACAGGGGUGAUAUUUCCUACAAAUUUGUGGGUUUUCAGGAUAACUUACAAUGGCAGGGAGACAUCGUGUUCCACGUGAAGCGAUGAAUGACCGGCGUGGUUAUCCUAUUGAAGGACCUUAUGGCCGAGGUCCUCCUAUGCGGUCUCUUCCCCAUCCUGCAAUGUUGGAGGAAGAGCUUGAAAUGCAACAUGCGGAAAUUCGGAGACUCUUGGCUGAUAACCGGAGGCUGGUUGAGGACCGGAUGGUGUUGCAGCAUGAGCUUGGUGCUGCCAAGGAAGAAAUUCAUCGGAUGAAUGUUGCCUUUUCAGAUAUUCGUGCCGAAGAAGAAAUGAAAUCAAGGGAGCUCUAUGAGAAAAGUAGGAAAUUGGAGGCUGAUCUACAGGCAACUGAGCCCUUGAAAAAUGAGGCUAAGCAACUUCGCUCUGAAGUUCAGAAGCUGAAUACUGUUAGGAAGGAGCUUGCCACACAAGUUCAGACCCUCACGCAGGACCUUGCGAGGUUGCAGUCUGACAAUAAGCAGAUUCCUAUGCUGAGGACUGAGAUUGAUGGUCUGCAUCAGGAGCUUAUGUUUUGUCGAAAUGCGGUUGAUUAUGAAAAGAAGGCAAAUAUUGAGCUUAUGGAGCAAAGACAGGCAAUGGAGAAGAACCUAGUUUCUAUGGCACGUGAAGUUGAGAAACUACGGGCAGAACUUUCUAGGGCUGAUGGUAGACCAUGGGGUACAGGUGGACAAUAUGGUAUGAAUUUCACCAGCCCAGAAGGGGCUUUUCCUGCUGCAUAUGGAGAUGGAUAUGCGAUGCACAUGGGUGCUGCUGACAAAGGGCCUAUGUAUGGCCUGGGUCCAGCUUCAUGGGGAGGUUCUGAAAAGCCUCGCAUGACUCGUCGCUGACAUCUGGGUGAUUAUUGUUUCAAUGACAGAGUUAUACAUGCCACCUUUGGUUGCUCGUCAUCUGAGCCUAAGUGGUCAAGAAGCUUUAGCAUCUAUGCGUGCACGGCAGAUCAGUAGCCACUUAUUUUUCUCAAUACAUUAUGGAAGGCACGUAUUCAAAUGCAUUAAACAAAUAUUGAGUGGACCUGCUGUACCGGAGGAGAAUAGACGUAAAUGUGAUUUAUACAAGAGGUUGGUUUGACUUAAAGACUGAUGGAAGAAAAUAUCUUAGCCAGUUGUUGAAAUUGGUGAUAAUAGCAAAGUCUAUGCAACCUGUUAAUGUUGUUGAAGACCCGAAGGUGUAAGGAUGCCCCAUGCAGGUUGUCAUUUCCGCUAGUGAGUGCAUACUUCCCAUCUCCUUUACUUGAGUUCAGAUACGCAUAAAUCACCGAAGGAUGCCAUCAGACGAUCAAAAGAUUCUCAAGGGUAAAGGUUAAUUUUCUCCCUAAAAGAAGGGGUGUAAUUUGGCUGUCCCGCUUGCUCCCAUGCACUCCUCUCCUGAUUGUGGCCGGCCACCCGGUGACACAAUCUUCUCACGGUAUGCUGCGACUGUUGGACGACGUCCUGAAGAUGUUGUGGAUGGAUUUACUAGGUCAAUCCCAGAAAUGCUCGUGACAGUUGAAGUAGGGGAACCUUCAAGGCGGUAAAAAUCAUAUCAACGCAGCUCCGUUUUGUUGGUCAAAGCAAUCCUAAAACGCAGCCUAUCUUCUGAUUCUAAGAUUCCGGCUUACGGUAGCACAGAACAGUCAACAUUUUCAGUCUCGAAGGAUAGAGUUUCAUCCGGCAUCUGAAUGCCGGAUUCCGGAUUCCGGAUUCCAACAAAGUAGCAACUGCCAUUUGCCUGACCCGAAAGUAACCGCAGCUGUUGGGUAGAACCGUACAAGUAAUACAUCAGAGGAAUUAAUUGUCUACAAAACUCAUCACACUUUUCUU